GAACAAACACUCUAAAAAAACAGGUCUUGCAGAUGUAAAUGCAGACGUCAAAUAGACAUCUCUGUGAUGUACGUGAGCUAUCAGGGUUACAUGGAUGGAGUAAGAGACUGAAGCCGUGCCUCUAUACACUCCGGUGUAGUAGGUGGCGGUAUGUGCGUUUCAAGGGUGUUUGUAAGCCGCCAUUACUCUAAAAGAAGGAGAUCCCAGUCUUCCGAUCCAUUAAACUCGCGCAGAGUUGAGUCGCUGCGCUUGUUUACGCGUCCAGCGAUUAUGUAAAUGAGGCCAGCGGCUGUAAACUGACUCGUGAGACCAGAAUAUUGUUCAUUCGCGAUGACUGGAAGAUUGUGGACACCCGAAGCGGAGGAGACGCUGAUCGAGCUCUGGCAGGAGUCUGCAUGUCUGUACGACAUUUCGUCCGCCGAUUACCACAACCGGGAGGAGAAGGACAAACGAUGGAAGGAGGUCGCCGAUGCGCUUCAGAUGCCCGCUUUGGCGGUGGCGACCAGGGUGGCGUCUCUGAGGACUCAAUAUUCCAGACUGAGGAAACCCAAACCCAACGGGAGUGAGAAGAAGCCCCUCACGAUGAGGCAGCGGUGGCUCCUGAGGGCCCUCGGCUUCCUGAAGCCACACAUCGUUCAUCGGCAAAGCGAGAACCCUCUGGGUUCUGAUAAAGUGGAGGAAACUGCAGACGAGUCGGAUGAAAUGGAGACGGACAAAGAAGUGGACAGUUUCGACUCCAUCAGCGUGUGUCUCUCCCCGAUGCCCGGCACUCCAGACACCGGCAUCCCCGAGGAAACUGCCUCGUACUCGCUGUCUCCCCGGAGCACAUCCGGCAAACGCACGCGCUCCUCCGAAUCCGACAUCGAGCUGCAGAAGCUGGAGGUGUUGAAGCAGAUGUCCGCUAAAGUCCUGGAGCACCCGUCUCCGGACGCCGCCGCCGUCUUCUCCAGCCAAGUGGCGAUGGAGUACCGUCUGCUGAGAGACCCCAGCGUCCAGAUGCGCGUCCGCCGGCAGAUCAUGGCUCUCCUCUACGAGGCACAGGAUUCAGAGAAACGUUCCCGGCAGUCCAAGAGACACGAGCAGAGAGAACUCAAAACUGAGGACGACGUUACUUGGAUUAACACUAAUAUAUAAGCUGAAAAAUAGUGUUGUUCUUGUGUUUUCUACAUUGUACUGAACUAUUUUCCUAGUGGAAGCUUUGAGAUAAUCUACAUGUAAGAUAAUAAAACUGUCCAACUCUUCAUGUGUAUUUUUAUUUUUUUGUAGCUGUGAG
RNAcentral lists this long non-coding RNA (1273 nucleotides) under Sinocyclocheilus anshuiensis. RNAcentral's name for it is "lncRNA (ENSSANG00000009091.1)". Lineage: Eukaryota; Metazoa; Chordata; Actinopteri; Cypriniformes; Cyprinidae. The record is from RNAcentral.